Molecule: ribosomal RNA, 253 nt
Filed under: uncultured bacterium
Lineage: Bacteria
Description: partial 16S ribosomal RNA
Rfam family: Bacterial small subunit ribosomal RNA
Source: RNAcentral
UACGUAGGGGGCAAGCGUUGUCCGGAAUCAUUGGGCGUAAAGCGCGCGUAGGCGGCCCGGUAAGUCCGCUGUAAAAGUCAAAGGCUCAACCUUUGAAUGCCGGUGGAUACUGUCGGGCUAGAGUCCGGAAGAGGCGAGUGGAAUUCCUGGUGUAGCGGUGGAAUGCGCAGAUAUCAGGAGGAACACCAAUAGCGAAGGCAGCUCGCUGGGACGGUACUGACGCUGAGGCGCGAAGGCCAGGGGAGCAAACGGG